CAGCAGCCGCGGGAAAACGAAGUGUGCAAGCGUUGCUCGGAAUGACUGGGCGUAAAGGGCGCGUAGGCGGUUUUGACAGUCAGAUGUGAAAUUCCUGGGCUUAACCUGGGGGCUGCAUUUGAGACGUCAAGACUAGAGUGUGAGAGAGGGUUGUGGAAUUCCCAGUGUAGAGGUGAAAUUCGUAGAUAUUGGGAAGAACACCGGUGGCGAAGGCGGCAACCUGGCUCAUUACUGACGCUGAGGUGCGAAAGCGUGGGGAGCAAACAGGAUUAGAUACCCCCGUAGUCCCUGUCUCUAUACA
This 301-nucleotide ribosomal RNA is filed under the name uncultured bacterium. RNAcentral's name for it is "partial 16S ribosomal RNA". It matches the Rfam family "Bacterial small subunit ribosomal RNA", at positions 509 to 808 of the family's 1533-position model. The record is from RNAcentral.